Molecule: long non-coding RNA, 5102 nt
Organism: Homo sapiens (human)
Lineage: Eukaryota; Metazoa; Chordata; Mammalia; Primates; Hominidae
Product: long independently transcribed non-coding RNA 2765
Exons: 4
Source: RefSeq, marked validated
AGCUGGGUGUGAGUCCGCGGAGCUGAGAGCCUUGCCCUCUGCUCCAUCCUCCUCUUUUGGGGGUCUCCGCGGUGUCAGGACUUGGAGAGCCUGGUCGUGGGACUUGAUCAGAGAGGCCUUGAGUGCAGUGGGUGCUUAUCUGGUGACUGUGGCCCUGAGGUCUGGGACAGACACUGCCAGUCUUUCUGGGCCACACCCACGGGGACUGCCAGCCCCCCUGGGCUUGGCACAGUGGAGGGGAGCCUCCACCACAGUGGAGGAGAGACACACCCAAGGCCCUGGAUGUGCCCGGCUCUCUGCAGCUGUGGGUGCCUCAGGCCGGCCGCCGAUGGGUCUCAGUUUCUGAGGGGGUGGCAGUGAAGUUGCAGAGAAGAAACCUAUGAAGGUGCCCUGUCAACUGCCACACGCCGAGAUGCACAUUGACAGCCCAUCACCGCCUCUUGCCUGUCCUCCCCGGGGACCGGCAGAUCAUGGGAGAUGAUUUGUCAAGGGGAGACACAUUUGGGUGACACCAAGCCGAGCUUCCUGUCUUGAGACGCUUUCUGCUUUCUCAUCUUCCUGCUAAUGAGUUGCCUUUUGUGUGUAUCCCACUUCCUGUCCCACCCAGCCCCAAAUGUCCGUGGAACCGGCCCCACUAACCUGCAUCCAGCUGCCUCUUCCACCUGGGCCCUGCUCUCAGAUGGAAGUGUCACCAAACACCCAGAUCGCCGUGCUCCUGCUUCUCUGGGUUCAAUGAGACCCUCCACCCAGAUGAGCAUGAGCCCAGCCAGGGUGGGCUGUUCAGUUUCUUCCCUGGGAAUCUGGAGCUGGAUUGAGCUGGUCUGCAGCCUGGUCUGAGAGCCCAGCAGGCUCGAGACACUGCAACCUGGCCUGGCCGUGGGCAGGCAGGGAGUGGAGGUUGCGGCAUCGUCUGGGCAGAGGAGCUGGGGCGUUUGCCAGAAGUCUCCAACGGGCCAUCUGGUCCCAGAGAGCAGAGCACACAGCCUCAAGAAAUACGAGAAAGGCGGCAGGGGCAGGUGAGCUACAAAGAGGGCUCCCCUGGGCAGUUUCAUUUUUAGGGGAUUGUUUCAUAUAUCUUCGGACCUUCAGGGUUUUAAUAUGUUUGAAGCUGUGCAGUGAAGCCCAAGGUCCUCUAUGUGACCUUGCAACCCCUCUGGGCCUUGGCCAGCUGCCGCUCUGCCCCUUGCCUGCCCUCCAGACUCUGGUAAACAUCAGCAAACCUGGAUGGAGAGGAACCGUGGAUGAGGAUGAAGUGGGGAGUAGGUCCUCCAAAUCCUUCCAAAGCCACCUCAUCCUUCCAGCUAGCUCCAGGCAGGAGCAGCAAGCUCCCUGUGCUGUCCUGCAUCAAACAGGCAAGGACAGCUGGACACGGAGAGAAGAGGCUGCAGGAGAAAUGAAAUUACCUCCACAGCCCAGGCAAGACAGCAGCCAGGGGUGCCUAUCUGCCAGCUGUGCAGGAAAGACCCCUUCCCCACCAUCCCCCGCUGGUCGGGGAGAGCCACACUUGCUUUUACUUAUACUCAGUAGGUGUGAUUAGCAAUGCGAGUCUGGGAAGUUUUUUUCUCGAACUAGAAACCUUGGGUGGCACCCUUGUUGGGGUAACAGUGAGAGGUGUGGGUGACAGAGGGGAGGGGCCUUGAUGCUUCCUUGCUCUUGGCAGGGGGAGCUGGCUGGUGGAUGAUUCAUUCAUUCAGUAAUUGUUUAUCUAGAGGAAAUGAUGGGCAAAGGCCCUGUGGGGUGGGCAGUGUCAUAUGAGGUGUCAGGAGGUGGCUGCAAAGGAGAGGAGCUUGCAGGGGUUAAGGCAGCUGAGGGACCUUAACCCGAGGUGGCACCUGGCUUAGCUCUCAUAGCUGUGGUUGCUGCUUUUACGGUAGAUUAGAUUUUCCUGAAGCAUGGCAAGAAAGAAUAGUUGGGACAGGCUAGGUUUCUGAGCAGAAUGCAACCUUUGGCAAAACCCCAUAAAAUACUCUGUAGCUUAAAAAAAAUCCCCAGACCUCAGCCAACUAUAGUUAUGCUCCUAAACCAGUUCAACAGAAGCCCUUACAUGACUGCUGAUCUGGGUGGCAGGUGGUGGCUGUCUGCACCCUAGGCUGCAGGGAGGAUGGCCCCGGGAGCCCCCAGACCACAGACACCAACAGAGGCCCGGGGUGGGGUGGGCGGUACCAGAGGCAGCUGCCGAGGACUCUUGGAGAUGCUCCCUCUGCUCCUCCUUUUGCCACCAGGGGCCUGAAAAAGGAUUUCCUUCCGUGGGAAAAUCCAGAUCGGCCUCCCUGUCACCUCUUCUUCACCCUCAUUCGUUCCUCCCCCUGGGAUAAUCUGACUGUGCCUGUUCAGCUCUGUGGCUAAACAGAGUGGAUCCUGUCAGUCCUCACCCUACGGAUCGCUGAGGUCCUGCACCUUUCGCUUGGCCAUGCUCAGCUCCGGGGCUCCCACCCGCCUUGCCUUUACCCCGGGACUGCUCUCCGCCUCCGUGGCUGGGUCCUGUCCUCGGGCUCCCUUCUUCAGUAGCAAGGACCUUAGGUCCUCAUCCUUGAGCCUCUUCUCUCCCAAACAGACCCUUGUACCUGAGCUUGUCCACUCCCGAGGAGAACAGACAUGUGCCCAGGCCUCGGAAAUCUGUUGUUUCUAGGCUUCCUCUCUGUAAAGUUCCUGAUUCAUAUAACUCAUUGUAGGAAUUGUGACUGGACAUCCAGAGGCAUCUCAACUCCAUUGUGUCCCAAACUGAACUGGUCCCCUUUCCCCCACAUCCCUGUCCCUCCUUCAGUAUCCUCUACUCGGAGAGUAAUGUCACCUCCUAAACACCCAGCCCAGAAGCCCUGGGGUCAGAGGAAUGCAGGCUUUGGAGUCAACCACCAGACUCAAAUCCUGGCUCUACCACCUCCUGUGUGAUCCUAGCAAGUUCCUGAGCCUCUCUGUGCCUUAGUUUCCCAGAUAGCAUCAGCGCUCCUCUUAUAGACUUCUAGUGAGGAAACAAUGAGAUAUUCCAUUAGAAGUGGCCAUACAGAUAGCGCUCAGUAAAAAUGAGCUGUUAUUAAUCCCCUUCCCCCAACACACACACACACACACACACACACACACACACACUCACUCACUCAGCCAGUGACUCAGUCUUGUGGGCUCCACCUCAUCUCCAGAUCCAGGUCCCAUUCACUGCCACAGUGGUGGCUCCGACCUUCCCCAUUCCCACCCUCAGCAGCUGCAGUCACCUCCUUAUUGGUCUUUCUUCCUGCAUGGUCUCCCUACUCCCAUCUUGGUGAAUAAUUCCUUUUUAACAACAACAACAAAAACCUUUUUGAGAUAUAAUUCACAUAUCAUACAAGUCGAUCAUUUAAAAUGUAGAAUUCAAUGGCUUUUAGCACAUUCAUUGGGUUAUGUGACCACCUCCACAACCGAUUAUUUUUCUUUUUUUUUUUUUUUUUUGAGACAGAGUCUUGCUCUGUUGCCCAGCCUGGGGUGCAGUGGCGCGAUCUCGGCUCACUGCACGCUCCGCCUCCCAGGUUCAUGCCAUUCUCCUGCCUCAGCCUCCGGAGUAGCUGGGACUACAGGCACCCACCACCAUGCCCAGCUAAUUUUUGUAUUUUUAGUAGAGAUGGGGUUUCACCAUGUUGGUCAGGAUGGUCUCAAUCUCUUGACCUUGUGAUCCGCCCACCUCGACCUCCCAAAGUGCUGGGAUUACAGGUGUGAGCCACCAUGCCCAGCCUUACAACUGAUUUUGUAGCAAAUUUUCAUCACUCCAAAAAGAAACCCUGUGUGCAUUACCACUCACUCCUCAUUCCUGCCUCCUGACCCUCUCCCACCCCUAGGCAGCCACUAAUCUACUGUCUGCCUCUAUAGAUUUGCCUAUUCUGGACGUUUCAUAUUAAGGGAACCCUAUACUAUGCGGUCUUUUGUGGCUAGCUUCUUUUACUUAGCAUAUUUCAAGGCUCAUCCUUGUAACAAGUAGCAUUCCUUCUUACGGUCAGAUAACAUUCCAUUGUGUGGAUAUACUAGGCCACAUUUUGUGUAUCCAUUCACCAGCUGCUCAACUGAAUAAUACAUGGGUUGUUUUCAUUUCUUGACUAUUACACAGUCCAUACAAAAUGCUGCUAUGAAAUUCCUAUACAGGUUUCUGUGUGGACAUAUGUUUUUGUUGCUCUAUAUACCUAGCAGUCAUAUUAGUCAUAUGGUAACUCUAUGUCACUUUUGGAGGAACUGGCAAGCUGUUUUCCAAAGUGGCUGUGCUAUUUCACAAUCUUCCCUGUAAAGUGUGAGGGUUGCACUUUCUCCACGUCCUCACCCACACUCAUUACUAUCUGUCUUUUUUACUGUGGCCAUCCUAAUGCCUGUGAAGUGGUAUCUCAUGGUUUUGAUUUGCAUUUGCCUGAUGGCUAACGGUGUUCAGCAGCUUUUCAUGUACUCAUUGACCAUUUGUGUAUCUUCCUUAAGAAACGUCUAUUCAGAUCCCUUGCCCGUUUUAAAUUAGAAUAUUUAUUUAUUUUUAUUAUUAUUAUUUUUGAGACGGAGUCUCGCUUUGUUGCCCAGGCUGGAGUACAGUGGCGCAACCUAGGCUCACUGCAAGCUCCGCCUCCUGGGUUCACGCCGUUCUCCUGCCUCAGCCUCCCGAAUAGCUGGGACUACAGGCGCCCGCCACCACGCCUGGCUAAUUUUUUGUAUUUUUAGUAGAGACGGGGUUUCACUGUGUUAGCCAGGAUGGUCUCGAUCUCCUGACCUCGUGAUCCGCCCGCCUCUGCCUCCCAAAGUGCUGGGAUUACAGGCGUGAGCCACCACGCCCAGCCAGAAUAUUUAUAUUUUUAUUAUUGGUUUGUGAGAGUUCUUCAUAUAUGCUAGAGACAAGUCUCUUAGGCGUAUGAUUUACAAAACUUUUCUCCAUUCUGUGGGUUGUUUUUUCACUGGCUUAAUAGUGUCUUUUAAAACACCAAAGUUUUUAAUUUGAACGAAGCCCAAUUUAUCCAUGUUUUUCCUUUGGUUGCUUGUACUUUUGGUGUCAUGUUUUAAAAACCAUUGCCUACCUUGAUGUCAAAAUUUACGUCUAUAAUGUUGAGAAAAGAGAACUCUUAGAUGCUAUUGGUGGGGAAAUAAAUUAGUUUAGCCAUUGUGGAAAA